UGGGGAAUAUUGCACAAUGGGCGCAAGCCUGAUGCAGCGACGCCGCGUGGGGGAUGACGGCCUUCGGGUUGUAAACUCCUUUCGCUAGGGACGAAGCUUUUUGUGACGGUACCUAGAUAAGAAGCACCGGCUAACUACGUGCCAGCAGCCGCGGUAAUACGUAGGGUGCGAGCGUUGUCCGGAAUUACUGGGCGUAAAGGGCUCGUAGGUGGUUUGUCGCGUCGUCUGUGAAAUUCCGGGGCUUAACUCCGGGCGUGCAGGCGAUACGGGCAUAACUUGAGUACUGUAGGGGUAACUGGAAUUCCUGGUGUAGCGGUGAAAUGCGCAGAUAUCAGGAGGAACACCGAUGGCGAAGGCAGGUUACUGGGCAGUUACUGACGCUGAGGAGCGAAAGCAUGGGUAGCGAACA
This 409-nucleotide ribosomal RNA is filed under the name uncultured bacterium. RNAcentral describes it as "bacterial SSU rRNA". It matches the Rfam family "Bacterial small subunit ribosomal RNA", at positions 355 to 774 of the family's 1533-position model. The record is from RNAcentral.